Molecule: ribosomal RNA, 497 nt
Filed under: uncultured bacterium
Lineage: Bacteria
Description: partial 16S ribosomal RNA
Rfam family: Bacterial small subunit ribosomal RNA
Source: RNAcentral
GAUGAACGCUGGCGGCGUGCCUAAUACAUGCAAGUCGAGCGAACGGACGAGAAGCUUGCUUUUCUGAUGUUAGCGGCGGACGGGUGAGUAACACGUGGAUAACCUACCUAUAAGACUGGGAUAACUUCGGGAAACCGGAGCUAAUACCGGAUAAUAUUUUGAACCGCAUGGUUCAAAAGUGAAAGACGGUCUUGCUGUCACUUAUAGAUGGAUCCGCGCUGCAUUAGCUAGUUGGUAAGGUAACGGCUUACCAAGGCAACGAUGCAUAGCCGACCUGAGAGGGUGAUGGGCCACACUGAAACUGAGACACGGUCCAGACUCCUACGGGAGGCAGCAGUAGGGAAUCUUCCGCAAUGGGCGAAAGCCUGACGGAGCAACGCCGAGUGAGUGAUGAAGGUCUUCGGAUCGUAAAACUCUGUUAUUAGGGAAGAACAUAUGUGUAAGUAACUGUGCACAUCUUGACGGUACCUAAUCAGAAAGCAACGGCUAACUACGUG